UUUUUUUUUUUUUUUUUGGGUCACUUCCUUCUUUCAUAAACUUCUUUACGAAACUAAAUUAAAAAAAAAAAAAAAACUGAACUGAAUAGUGUGAACUUAUAGAUUGAACUGUAGACGACAGUGCCUUUAUUGGGAUUGCUCUUGCCCUGUUCAACCAGGCUGUCAUGAGUAGGACUCCGGCCAUAACAUAGUCGAGAGAUCCAAAAUGUUACGAAUCGAUUUACAAGUUUUACUCUAUGUCUUGAUUUCUAGUGUUUAUAUAUAUAUAUAUAUAUAUAUGUAUGGAUAUCAUCUGUUAAUACACGACUAACUAAUAUUUGAAUAAAGUAUUUUUCGCCAUCAAUCCAUUCGGAGGAUUCGCACAAGUACCCGGGACGAUGAUAAAAUCUAAGAUGACAACGUGCUUAAUUAUAUGACUUAACAACAUGGAGAGAAAAUAGACUAAAAUUACUUGGACAAGAUGCUCUACGGUGGUUGUAAUGUCAUUCUCCAAUUUCAAGUUUCUUUGAUCGUGAAAGGCUCAAUAAUUGUUAAUAAUUAUGCAUGCCACAUUCUGUACGAGUGAAUGUGCAUGUAAUAGAUCCGAAUCAUGUGGAAGUUUAUAUACAUAUUUAGCAGCAAAAUUUUGACCCUAAAAGGUUGAAAUUUUAGAAAAUAAUUAAUUUGGCCUCUAAGUGUUGAUGGCGACUCUGAUCUUUCUUUCUUUCUUUCACCUUCUAUUCGACCUCAAUUAAGUAUUUUAGAACCAACGUAGGGAGAGCGCUGCCCUGAAACACCGCCCGAAUACGGGUAGACAAGACUUCAAAUCAACUUGACUAAAAGCUGUCGAAAUGUGUGGGGAUCGAGGGGCCAAAACUUCGAAGCUGAUGUUUUCCGCAAAAUUAAUAUGUUUGCCGCCUGAGUCGUUCUCAUGAUUCCCUGUGGAUAGUAAAUGGUAAUGCAAGCCAAAAAAAAAAAAAAUUUGUGGUGAUGAAUUAAGGCAAGUGCAAAACGUGGUUGGAGCGAAAAACUCUUGCCAAUUGACUAGCGUAUCUGGGCUUCAAUUGCACCCCAUGAAAGCUACAUUUUCAGGCCGGUAAAUAUGCAGUCUUACGUGACUACUGUAGAGCAUCUUGAUAAGCAUAAAGCUUUGUCGGUUGAUUGACUGUGCAGUAAAUGCCGUGCUUUAAGGGCCUACCAUUUCAUUUUGGAGCAUGCACUCAUGAAAUUGCACAUAAAUUCACACCAAAUGUUGGCGCAAUUAUUAGAAAUUUUAGUUGGCUUCAUGGGUUUUCUCUCCAGGCAAAGGAAUCAAGCAGCUAGGAUGCAUUACGGUCAGUUCCAUACUACACUUUCCAGUAGUAUUAUGUCAUUUUUGAGCUGUUUUCUUGAAAUUUUCCUUUUAUACAUCAUGCUCAAAAACUUUAUAAUCAUAGCAACUUCACUUGCGCUCUCAUCAAAUGAUCUAGCUUGUUUCCAUUUGCGUUACUUUCCUAUUUCUUAGUUCAUUUCUUCCGUACUAGCUCAUCAAAUCUUCAGAACUCAUCCAUUUUUUAGGUUGCUCACAGAGUAUAGUUCAUCCACGAGAAGAAGCUCUCAUCCAUUUUUGAGGGCAUUAUCGAAAAUUAAUCAGAAUCGAUUGCAUACCACUUAAAAGUAAGUUUUAUCUUCAAAACGGGUUCAUUUGUCUUUCCCCCCCUUUUUCUCCUUAUAAUUAGUAAGUGUGUCAUCUGAUAGAGAAAGUUCGAUGAAGCAGGUUUGCAGGGACACAUCCACAGGAAAAAGAUAAUAGGGGAAGUUUCCAGGUGAGAUAUAUACUAUAGAAAUGUGCAUGUCCCGUGGUACUCAAUAAUAACAUGCACUAGAGUCUUUCCUCCUACUAUUUGUACGGAUAAACUGCUACACUGAUCGAUUUGGCAUCACUUCCACAAUGGAGUCUGAACAGCUUCCCAUUUGUGCAAUGAAUCAUACAGCAGAUCUAAAAUCUCACUGGCUUAUAUUAUUGGCUUCACGGGAGAAAUUCCAAGAUGGGAUUCCUUGCCUUGUUCAUUGUGGCACUGAUUCCUGUCCUGAAAACACUUAUUGUCACUGCUGUUGGUUUAUUCCUUGCCUUAGAGAAGGUGGACAUCCUGGGUGACACUGCAAGGCAUCAUCUGAACAAUGUAAGUGGGCUAUAUAUUAGUAGUAGCAUUUAUGAAAUUUAUAUACAGAGUCAGUCAGUUGCUGUUGGUGAUCUUAAAAAGAGGCCGAACAGAUUAAUAUAUUUUGUUGAAUGAUUGGACCAAAACAGCUCGUGUUUUUCGUCUUCACUCCUGCUCUAGUUUCAAGCAGCCUGGCAGAAACAAUAACAAUGAGCAGCCUAAUUAAGUUGUAUGUCGAUCUCAUCAAGUCUUUGAAUUUUCUUUCCUUGAAAGAGACUUGGGUUGUAACAUUCAGAUUUUGGUUGGUUUCUAACUGUUUGCAAAUGGCAUUUAUGUUUUUUUAUGUGCAGAUGGUUCAUGCCGGUGAACAUUCUUCUCACCUUUAUUAUUGGUUCGGCGUUGGGUUGGGUGCUUGUUAAAGUCUUAAGAACUCCUCAACAUCUACAUGGCCUAGUUAUUGGUUGCUGUGCAGCAGGUUAUAAAACUCAUCAUAAUUCUGAAGUUCUACUACUAUAAUUUUUCAUUAUUUUGGAAAUCAAGCCGGAGAGUAGCUCAGCCAAGGUCAGGAAUUAGGGGCUAGAUUGAUAUUGGGGAUAAUUUUAGAAACCUCCCUUGAGCUUUUUGAUAAUUUCAAUAGCCUCCCCUAAAAUUUGUAAAAUUACACAUACCUCCCCCAAAGUUAAGGUUUUGAUAACAAAGUUAGUCCAAUUAGAAAAAGUAACAUUAAAAAAGUACUUUAAAGAGAAAGAUGAAACUUUUAUUUCAUAAAUACCCUCAUGCACGUAUAUAAGUCGUAUUAGUAAGAGAAUAAAAAUAAUUAAAAGUUAGGAAUAAUUAAUACACACAUUUGAUCACUCAAAAAGUUCACAUUUAAUAAAUUAGACAAUACAAAUAAGCAACAAAACUAAUUACAAAGUUCAGUAAAACAGACUAGUCAUCUCUUUUAACUUGAUGCUUGCUAUGAUUCUUGUGACAAAACUUAUGUGUAAAUAAAUGCUUUUGCCACUUCUGAACUCAUCAAAUGCAGGGAACUUGGGGAACUUGCUUCUCAUUAUCAUUCCAGCUGUUUGUGAGGAAAGUAACAGCCCAUUUGGAGAUUCAUCAACAUGUUCUACUAAUGGAGAAGCUUAUGCAUCCCUCUCUAUGGCGGUAAUUCUGUCCCGCUUUUCAGUACAAUGACGACUUUGCAAACACCAUUAGUUCCUAGAUAUAUAUAUAUAUAUAUAUAUCCCAGCAAUCUUUUUUUUUUUUUUUAAUUUUCUUAACCUCCUUUUUAUGCCACAUAUAUCAACCCCAUCUCAUGAACACUAUAGUACGACUGUAUUCAAAUUAAACUCUUCUGGAAAACACGGUCCAAAAGUAGAUGUUUCUUAUGUCUAUCUUGUCCAUACCAUUUAUUUAUUUCUCUUUGGCUGAAUAGAUAGGGGCUGUAUUCAUCUGGACGUAUGUUUAUAACAUCGUACGGGCAUAUGGGAUUCGAAGUACAGGUUCCACAAUUAACAGAACAAAUUCUGCCAACGGUGGAGAGAUAGUGACAGAAAGCAGCUUGGAAGAAUCAUUGUUAUCAAAGGAUAUUGAGACUGAUCAUUCUCAUGAUACACCACAGCCCAUUGAGAGUAUUGAAAAUUAUGAGAAGGUUGAUCUCCUUUUCUCAUCUUCCAUGCAUAGUACCAAUUUUUCUGUCUCCUCUUGCACUAGAGUAAGUUGUCACCUCACUGAAGUGUUUGGGUAGUUCUAUAUUUUCUUAUCUACUCCGUUUAUUUCUGAAUCAUAGAGAGAGCAAAAAUAAAAUAAAAAAAAAAUGCUCCCAUUUUGUAGAUUUCAGAAAAUAUGGUAGGUUUUUCUUUUGGGGAAAGCUCUAAGGGGGAAAGAGCGACUUCACUUUAUUUUUCCUAAUAACCAAAAAAAUUCAAUUAUGACAGCAAGUUUAAAAGCUUCCUUUUCCGGAGAAUUACAAAAAAAGUAUAUGUACUUUGACAUUACAAUGUGGAUCAACAAUUCAGAUUAAUUUAGCCAGGAUAACAACCACUCAAGUAUAGAUGUGAAAAUUAAGGGAAAAAAUCGCGUUAAAAUUCGGUAUUUUAGGUGUAAUAUGACCUCUACUGCAUUGUUAAUUUAUUUUCUAAGCUUUUAGAAAUCAUAGAGGUGCCAAUUUAGAAUCUAUUUCUUCCUCUCACUCGUCCCUCUUAUUUACUCAAAUUGUUUCUUCUAGGUACCGAUGCGAAAGAAAAUUAAGCAGCAGCUGAAAAUUUUGGCAGAAAGGAUGAACCUAAAAAUGAUGUUUGCACCGUCCACCAUUGCCACGGUAUGAUCAUACCAUCUAUAAUUUGUACGAAUCAGGAAUUUCAUCUAAUCCUUUUUAAAAAAUGGAACAUCCCAGAAAUUCAAUUGAAUCUAAAAGGGUCAAGGGAAUCAUGAAGCACGUUCCAACAACAAAUGAGCUAGCUAUGAAACAUGUUCUCUAAAUUUUCCAGGCCUAGUAGUACAUUUUUUCCUUGUGGGAUUUCUAUAGCCAAAUGUCGUGUUGUAGUUGGAAGUCAUUGGCCGAGUUAUCUAUGAUUUCAAUUGAAGUGUGAAAGUAAUGUUGAAUAGAUAGUUGGGCUUGCGAUUGGCGCCACCUCUCCCUUGCGAAAGCUACUUAUUGGUGACUCUGCUCCUCUUCGGGUCAUAGAUACCUCUACAUCCAUGUUAGGGUAAGAUCUUGAAAUGGGCUCCUAUUUUGCUAGAAAUGAUUGCGUAAUCUUUAUUAAUUCUUACCGUGCAAGUGGAUUAUCAUGUUGCAAACCAAUGUUUUGAAAAUUGGAUCGAACCGGUCGGUUUGACCAAUUGAACUGCAAACCAGUCGUGUCUCCGAUUCAGUUCAAUAGUUAAUUGAAAAAUUCAAUUGAAUCGGUCCAAUCCGAUCAAGAACAAGUUAGACUAGUAAAAAUCGGGAAGUUCAACUAGAGUUCACUAAUUUUUUUUAUUUUUUUAGAGAAUAUUUCAACAUUAUUCAAAAUUUUUAAUGCUAAUAUAAAUAAAACUGAUUAAACUUUUGAACCAAAAUUGAACCGGUAAACCUCUUCUUGUGUACUCUCCUCUCCAGUCCGGGUUUAACACCAUUGAUUGUAACCAAGCAUGACCAAUCCCAUUUAUAUAUCUCAAAUUCGAGAUAGCUUAACUGAAAAGCUGUCUUGGUUGCUUUCGCACCCCCCAAAAAAAAAAAAAAAAGUGUGUGUCAUGGCCAGCGUGUAAAUCGUAAAUUCAGUUUUUCUUUUUUCUUUUUUCAAUCACUAACCAAACAUUUCAAACUAUUUUCACAGGAAUUUGAAUUCUGAUGACCAUAGUAGCAUUAACAAACGAACUUCAUUAAUGCGAUUGAAUCACAUGCUGUUAUUUAUUUUACACAACUUUCCUCCUAAACCAAGACUACAAGGCUAUGUGUAUAUGGAUGUUUUUUUCUCGAUUAUUUUCUUAGUGCUAUGUGAUUUACUGCAACAGAGACGCAUCAAUACCGGCCAUGACAUUGAUAGUCGGAGCAAAUCUCCUCAAGGGUAAUCUUAAAAUCCUUUAAACAUCUGUCCCGCUAUUUUCAGUCUUUCCUUUUGGAUUCAAGGUUACACUUUUUCUAGGGAGAUGUUAUAGGCACUUCUUAGAAAACCUUUGUCACUCCAUCCUCCCUUUAUAGUAUGAAGGGAGGAGGAUGGAACGCUAGAGGAUUUUUAAGGAGUGCUAAUAUCAUUUUUCUUUUUCUAACCAUGGUUUACUUUAUAAUUCUGUGACAGGUCUUCAAAGAUCUGAAGUCGGGUUGGGGAUCAUAAUAGGGGUCCAAGUGGUCCGUUAUAUCGCAAUGCCUCUCUUGGGCAUUCUUGUUGUUAAAGCUGCAGUUCAUUUUGGACUGGUGGGAUCGGAUUCAUUAUAUCAGUUUGUUCUUCUGCUGCAAUAUGCACUACCAACUGCAAUGAGCAUGGGUAUUGUUCAGUGAGAAUCUCUAAAUUUUAUAUUACUACUCUAAACUUGUAUACUUCUUAUGCGACAGAGAUUAGGUGAAUUUUUGUAAGGAAAUGAAACUCUCAAGAUAUUGAACUGCUCUACCAGACUUGGCCUAAUCUUCCAUUAAUGUUAAUUGUUUGUAGGUACCAUAACGCAAUUAUUUGAAGUUGGGGAAAGGGACUGUUCGGUUAUUAUGCUGUGGAAUUAUGCAGUGGCAGCACUGGCUCUUACUCUCUGGUCAACAUACUACUUGUGGUUUGUGUCUUGAAGUUCCUAAUCUUCAUUUUUUGUGUACGUGCCCCAUGCAAAUUAUUCCAAACAAAAUGGAAGCAAGAUUCAUACUACGUUUGUGGAAAGUCAUCCAACUUGUGCAAGAGGCCUUUUUUUUUUUUUUUCGUUUUUUUUUAUGGGUAAAUCCUUUUGGAUUGCUAAGAUUCUGAAGUUGAAAGUCUUGAUAUGUACAAACGAAACAGCAUACAGAUGUAUCUAUGCAUAUACAAAAUAUCUUAUAAAUUCAAUUUUUUAUUGCAAUAAUCAUUGAAUAUUGUUAUGUUGUUAAUUCAGACAUCUUCUAUUGCAGAAAAACGAGAAAAGACUAUCUCUGUUUACAUUAAUUCUGGGUGAAAAUUGAUACUUUAACCAAAAAAAAAAAAAAAAAAACCAAUUGAACUGCUAUUUUUAAGGUUUUGAGUUCUCAGUUGUCCAUUCUAACAACGCAUAUAUCUUUUCCUUGACACAAUAGCUGUUUAAAUUCCACAUCAAUGCAGAAGGAAACCUGUCUUAACAUUGCCAAUGAAUUUAAAAAAUAUGCAAUGCAUCAUGUGACAGAUUAAAAUUCGCUUGUAAAUACAGUAGAAACUAGUGUGAAUACCCGUGCUACGCACGUUGCUGAUAUUAUUGAAAGAAAUUAAAAGAGAAGGUGAAUUAAAAAAAAGUAAAAAAAAAUUGUACCAAUAUAGUUAAAAUUUAAGAUUUGUCUAACAAUAGUUUAAAGUAUGAUAAAAUGUGUACAUCUUUCAAGAAUUGCGUUUUUACGAAAGUUUUUAUCCUUACACUAAAAAUCUAUUAUUGGACAAUAGUAUGUACAUUAUCACUAUUUGAAUUUGAAAUCUAAAUUUUAUAAAUGUAAGUACAUAUAUCUAUAUAUCAUACAUUCAAUUGUAAUAAUAUUUACACUAUUAAUGUAUAUAAGAUUAAUUUGAAAGGAAAAAAUCAGACUACUUGUAGUAGACUUCGCUUUAGAGAUAUAAUUAUAAAAAAAUGGAGAAGGAUGCCUCAGUUUUUUUUUUCCCUUUGGCACAAACAAAUGAAUCAAUUUCGUCCUUGACAUUUAAAAACUGAAAUUAUUACAUCCCUGAACCCAAAUUUUAAUCUGAAUCAAACCACCAAUCAACCUGAUUACAAAUUUCGGGAAUGUAAUUGGUAGAUCACUUGGUUAACUCAAUUUGAUAUUCAUGUGAAAUUUAAUGAACCUAAAAAGAAAAAAGAAAAAAUUAUAAUAUAAAAAAGAAAGAUUAAUCUUUCCUACAUUAUCAUUGUAUACACUGACGGUUUUAUGUACCGCCAUAUCAUUUUAAUUUAAAUUUAAACACCAAAUUUUAUAUUUAUGAUACACAUCUAGAUUCGCAAGCAGAUAUACUAACAGUGCAUGAAAAGAUUUACCAAAAAAAAAAACUCUACUAUUCCAAGACAAAGAAUGACCUUUUAUGUUAUAAUUUUUAUUUUUUUGGUUUAAUAAAUGUCAUGUGAAUAUGAUGAAGUUGACCAAAUAAUCUAUCAAUUCUAUUUUCGAAAUUUAUUACUGGGUUAUUGGAUGGUUUGAUUCAGAUUGAAAAUUAGGUUCAGGAAUGUAAUAGCUUUAAUUUUUAAAUGUCAGGGAUGAAUUUGCUUCAUUUUAAAAGUGAGGGAUGAAAAGAAUAUUUUUGUGAAAUGUGAGGGAUGAAACAAGUCAUUUUCCCUUAAAACAUUAUUGCUGCGUGAAAUAUGCAAUAAUUGUACCCCUGUCAUAAAUCGAUAUCCUGGUACACUCCGGAUGGCUGGAACAUAUUACUUGGGAUAGACGAAAUAUUAGCUUAUGGCAAUCUAACCUAUUGAGAUAGAUGUAUGGCAAUUGCACUUUAAAUGGGUUUGGAUGCAAAAAAAUUGGAUCAACAAGCAGCAUGCCAUAGACACGCGAAACUGAAAACUUCAGGCUGGGGGGCCUCCAUAGUCCAUGGCCGAGUAUGGGCAAAAACUAUUCAAGAUACCCCAUAAUGUGAAAUAUGAAUAAAUAUGACUGACACGAAUGGGGAUGGGGCUGGUGGGUUCUUUUCUUUGGAUUGCCCACAAAACAGGUCAGAAUAGCCCAAUUGCUCAGCGACGUAACUGUAUGGCCAUACCACCAGAAAAGCUCGUAAUUGUAGCUUUCGUCAGUCCCCCUUUUUUUGACUAUUCUAUAUAUUCGAAUUUAUCGUUGGUAAACCACACUCUCUCCUACUUGUGGCCGUUAAAGAAUCAAGCAGUCCAUCAAAUAAAGUGAUAAACGAGUUGUCUCCAUUCCGUGGAAAAGGCGAAUAUGCGCCAUGCAAUUUUUUCCCCCUUUGGAUGCUGCUAAUCCAAACAUGUUGCCUUACUGAUGCUACUUAAUCACUGUUUUUUUUUUGGGGUUCCCUUUAACGCUACUGAAUCCCUUUUCCUUUUCUUGCAUGCUACUUAAUCCCAACAAGUGCAUUUUGGUUUCCGGGUUUCUGUUGAAAUCAGUCUUGGUAGCAGAACUUUGAGUUCUAAUCAAGUCUUACACAAAAUAAACAAGCCACAGAGGAACUAUUCGGCAGCUGGGUAAAAUGCAUUUUCUUGCUCUUCUUUCAGAACUCUGACGUUUAUAUUUGUUUUAGUAGUAUUAUAGUACUCUGUUUUAUCAGUGUUUGAUAUAUCGGAUUGCUUGACGCUACUCUAUUUAUUAAGUUAAUUAUAAAAGUAGUUCUCCAAGUUGGAGAAGGGACAAAUGGAAGUGUCAUGUGUCUUUACGUAUCUGUUUUUUUUUCCUUAUUUAUUGUUUUCAGACGCCAACAAGCCAAGUUGAAAUUGAAUUUGCUUGUGUCAAAUUCUCUUACAUACUUGAUUAUUAUUUGGCUGCUGGCAUGCACUCACUUUCCAACACAAACUAAGGAUCCUCUGCUAAAGGAUAUCCGUAUGUUGUGCAAAAGUUAGACCAUGGAACAUUAUUAGGGGGAACUUAUUAAGCUAGAGAUUUAAGCACCAUUAUGAUGGUUUAAAUUAUGUAAGAUUUAGUCCAACUUGUCAAGCAGCCAUUACCUGUAUCAUGCCUACAAAAGGUUAUGGAUGUCUUGACUUUGAUAGGAGGAAACAUGGGAUUUACUUAUCCAGCAGGCCAAGGAGCGUUUAUUGUCCCAUAAUAUACUAUUUAGUCGUAAUGAGUUCAGCUGAGGAAGGAAGUUUGUAGAGGAAUUAACUAGAAAUAAUUCCUCUUUCUCCUUUUUGUUUUGUUUUCCUGUAGGAGUUUGGAGUACUUGAAGUUUUCGUAUAUCAUAAUGGGGUUGCUAGAUUUAUUCAUGGUUGCUUCUGUGCCUGUUAUGAAAGUACUCUUAAUUUGCGGACUCGGCUCUUUUCUUGCUUUAGAUCAUAUAGACAUCUUGGGAGAGAGUGCAAGGAAGCAGAUAAAUAAUGUAAGCAUCAACUUUAGCUUUAUCAUUCUUCUUGAACAAUCAUCAGUAACUUUUUCCAAUUUAACGGAGUUGUUUAAUUUGUGUAACCAGGUUGUAUUUUUCGUAUUCAAUCCAGCACUUGUCUCCAGCAACCUGGCUCAAACAAUUACCUUGGAGAACAUCGUAUCAUUGUGAGUACUUCUGAAAUCACUUAUUUCAACAUAAUUUAAUUAAUUUUGCUCUUUGAACGUAAUGUGAUGUGGUUUAAAGGAGAUUUGUUUUGUUUAGUGCUGAUUUUCAGAACCUGUCAGCUUUAGGCUAGAUUUAACUUUAGAUGGAUGUAUUUAGGUGGUUCAUGCCGGUCAACAUCUUGCUGACUUUUAUUCUUGGCUUAUUUUUUGGAUGGGUACUUGGCAAAAUAACUAAAGCUCCUCAGCAUCUGAAAGGCCUUGUAAUAGGUUCAUGUGCAGCAGGUUAGUGCUAAGUGUUUUCUCAUUUCUGCAACUUGAUGACUUCCUGUACAUCUGCUUAGAUACAGUUAAGAAGGCCUGAUAGGUUUAACUAAAGCGUGCAGGUGAAGUGUAUUGGGGGGGUGAAGUGGCACUUUUUGUCUAUCAAAUAUCUUCCCUAAAACAUAAUCAUUUUCCCCCCUCAAAACAGCGACACUGUUUAAAAGGAGAAAGGUGCCAGAGAGAAAUCAUAUAUGAAUUGCAGUUUGUCUGCAAAAUGAGGAAUGUAUGUUGUUUAAAAUUUCAGUUAGUUAUGGAUUUAGUGAGAUUGGAAUGUAUGAAAACUGGCCACUUUUAUUAGCAAUGGAUAGAUUACCUGUUGCAUUCCUUUUACAAGAAAGAUAGUUGCAGUGCCAUAACACGCUUUUGGGAAAAUACCCACAAAUCAAGCGAUAACAGGAAUUGUAUUAUGACUAGGAAACUUGGGGAAUUUGCCUUUGAUUCUUGUCCCAGCUAUAUGCCGUGAAAAGGGUAGUCCAUUUGGAGCACCAGAUAGCUGCCAUAUGUAUGGGAUGGCUUAUGUUUCUCUUUCUAUGGCGGUAUGUAUCAUAUUUCUUGUUCUGCCUUUAUUACUGUAAACGAAGAUUACAAACGAAAAGAUCAGUGCCAAUAUUUUGGUCAAAAUAAUGCAUCUCCUUUUUGACUUAUUUUAGAGAGCUGAUGAGUCUUGUGACUUCAUUUGUUAGUAGGUUUCGUUGACCAUUUUUUAUGUCAUGACUUAUGAUUUCUUGUUAUCAUGUCUCAGAUAGGAGCCAUUUAUCUGUGGUCUAUUGUUUAUAACAUUGUUCGCGUGUCAUCAACUAAGAGCUAUGAAGUUAUAAAUGUGAAGAAUGAAAGUUCUGAUGAAGAAACCUCAAAAUCCCUUCAAGAGCAGUUAAUUGAUGAGCUUGAUUUAGAAGGCACAUCUGCUAUGGACGAUGCAAAUGUAUCUUUGCUAUCAUGUGCUAAAACUGAUGAGCAAGGAAAGGUCAGCCAAUCCAUGGCAUUUUUGUGUGGAUUAGAAUAUUAGAUAUGUGUUUUCGUCAAUUUUAUAGGGUCCUUUCAAUUUGAUGACUGUCAAGAAUUCAUUGCAGGUUUUCAUCUUGGACAAAAUUAAGAAGCAAAUAUAUUCAUUUUUCAGAAACAUUAAUCUGAAGGCCAUACUUGCACCUUCAACGACUGCAGCGGUAUACCUUUAAGUGUCUGGCAAUUCUUUAUUGAAUCGAAUCAAAUUCUAGUAGAUAGUUUGUAAUCCUCAGUAAUAGCAUCAAAUUCAAAUGAAACAUUGGGUUAUCCUAAUCCUGGGUAUAUUUUUACUAGGGAAGAGAGGGGAAAAAACAUCAGCAGAAAUUAUUUCAGAUAGAAAUAUAAUGCCGCAAAGGGGUUAGCGUUUCUAUCAUAUGAACCCAAAGACUCUUAGACGGUAGCCUGCCACACAUCAAAAACCAUCCUUCAUUAGGAAAUUGAGUACAUUUUGAAAGAAAACCACUCCUUCAAGAAUAUAAACCUUCUAAGGCAAGGCAUUACCAGGUUAUUAGUUCUGAAUUAUUUUCUCAUUUAGUUAUUGAUCAGUGCAGAUUGUUGGCUUCAUCGUCGGAUUAGUGCCCCCCAUACAAAGGUUGAUGAUUGGUGCUAGCGCUCCGCUUCAUGUAGUCCAGGAUUCUGCUUUAUUACUUGGGUAAAACUCCCGCAUCCGAAAACUUUCUUGCAGUUUACAUUGGAAUAUCUUCACAAAUUAUUCUACAACUCUUUCAUGAUUCUGAAAUUUCAUCACUGUGGCCUGUACAGAAGCCAAAAAAAAAAAAAAGAAUCUAAAUUGCUUGUAUUAUCAAGGGUACUUGGUCCUCAUACUCGAUAUUACCUAAACAAGUUUGCUGAACUGCUUUGGCAUCACACAUGGAACAGUAUCUAAUAUUUUGAAAUUCUCCACUUCUAAUGUAUGUUAGUAGUAACUCAUUCAGGUUAUCUUGGAGCUAUAAUUUCUCAUUUUCCCUUGUCGACUUUUAAUUCAAUUGCAGGGAAGCAGCAAUCCCCAUAGUCACACUGAUAGUUGGGGCAAACCUCCUUAGAGGUACCAGUACUACAAAUGUCAAAUCCUUCUGUUUUUUGUUUAUGUUUUGGAGCUAUUGGAGUUUACCUGUGUUGUGAGUACCUUUUAAUCCAACUUGCAUAUUUUACCUUUUAGGUCUAAGAGGAUCAGGAGUCCAGCUUACUGUCAUUCUCGGGAUCAUUGCUAUUCGAUAUGUUUUCCUGCCUCUGAUUGGAGUCUUGGUUAUUAGAGGGGCAAUUCAUCUCGGCUUCGUGCAUGCAGAUCCCUUAUAUCAGUUUGUUCUACUACUACAGUAUGCUCUUCCCCCUGCCAUGAAUAUAGGUACAUUCCUUUUCUCUACCCCAGCAAUUACGUGCUUUUAAGUCUCUGUUUUUUUGAACAUUGAAUUUCAAAUGGUGAUAAAUACUUUUGACAUUUUUGUCACUGGAAGUAAAGUUUUCAUUACUGACAACAUUACCCUGCUGCAGUCCAACUUCUCGAGCUUUUCAGUUCCUUGCACGACCAUAUCUAUUCUACACACUAUAUCCUGUUCAACUAUUCGACAUUUCUUAUGUACAUUUGCUAGUUUGUAUUCUCAGACAGGAAAAAUUUGGAAAGCCCUUCUAACAGAUUCAUCCAUGUAAAUGGGGAUAUCAAUUUUCUCAUUCGGCAGGUACAAUUACACAAUUAUUUGGGUCAGGCCAGUCUGAAUGUUCUGUAAUUCUGCUGUGGACAUACUCAGUUGCAUCAGUUUCUCUAACACUUUGGUCAACCUAUUUCAUGUGGCUAGUAGCCAAAUCUUGAUUUUGCCGUAGCAGCUGCCAGUUUUGCAACAUGUAUUCAUGUUGUUCUCGUUGCUUCAGCUAAUGUAAGAGCGAACAAUAUAAAAUAGUACCAGCUAUCAUUGCAUAAGCUCACUGUCGAUUCAACAUUGUGAAAUAGCUUCCAAUUUCAAAAUUUUCCUCCAACAGCAGAAGGUGUCAUGAAGAGGGUUCUUUUCCAUUGAUACAAAGAUCAAAAUAGCCCAACUGUCCAACUAAGUAGCUGUGCGGAUGUACCUGAAAACCUUGUGGCUUUUGCACUCUCUUUCCCUUUUAAUUAUCCUACUUUUCGAAUUCAGCGUUCAAAAAGGAAACCCUAAAUAUCGCCGUUUUGGAGGUUGAACAAUUGAGCACUCCAAAAGUUUUAAGCACUGACGCCCAAUAAACGAGUUGCUCGGUUCCAAUUUGGAUGCGUGGCCGCUGUAUCAGCAGCAAUGUCAUGCUCAUUCCCAUUUGGAUGCUGUUGCAUGCUGGUAAUCCAUAUUCCGUACUUGUUACCUUGCUAAUGCUAUCUAAGCUUUUCUUUUCUUUGGGAAUAGAUUCUUGGUUUAUAUAUCUAUAUAUUGGUUCUGGUGUUUUUGCCGUAAACAUCUGUUGGGAGCAAAAUUUCAGUGACUAAUCAAAUCUUACAGAAAAUAAACAAGCCAAAUAGGAACAACUUGAGCAGCUAGAUAAGUUGCUUUCUCUUGUUCUUCUUUCAAAAAUCUGCCUUUUUUUUUUAACUUUACAGUAUUACAGAACUCUGUUCAUGAGUUUUUGAUACGUCGGAUUGCUUCAAGUUAUUAUAAUAAGUUAAUCUUUACAGUGCUCCACUUCAAGUUAGAGAAGGGAUGAACAAUUGUAUCUGGCUUUCCAUAAGUAUCGGAUAUCUCUCUGUUGCUUGUGUAACGUUUGCAGCAAGCAACAAGCCCAGUUGGCUACAAAUUUGCUUAUGCCACUAUUUUUUGUCUACCUGUUUUCUUUAUUCUAGGCUGCUGGCAUGCAGUCAACUUUUAGCACAAACUAAUGAUCAUCUACCAAAUGAUAUCUUCAAUUUGAGGAAAAGGUAGAUCAUGGUGCAUUAUCAGGAUUCUUCCGUAACGAUAUUGAUAAGCUGAAGUUUUUAGCUAGCUAACGUUAAUUGUGAUGCUUUAGAUUGUGUGAGAUUUAGUUCAACAUGUCAAGCAGCCGUUAAUGCCCACCAAAAUUUAUGGAUAUCUUGAUUUUACAGUACGAAAUAGGGGAUUUACUUAUCCUGCAGGCAAAGCAGCAUUUAAUUUCUUGGAAAACAAUUAAUAGGACUGAAGAAAUUCUGUCGAGGAAUUAAAUAGAUGCUAUUUCCUAUUUUUCCCCUGUGUACUCUUUUGCUCAAGGAGUUUGAAGUUUUCUAGCAGCUUUCAUAAUGGGGCUGCUAGAUUUAUCCUUGGUUGCUUCCAUACCUGUUGUGAAGGUGCUCUUGAUUUGUGCACUUGGCUCAUUUCUUGCUUUGGAUCAUAUAGACAUCUUGGGAGACAGUGCCAGGAAGGAGCUGAAUAAUGUAAACCUCAACCUUUACUUCCUUCUUCCUUCUUGAAUAUUAGAUCAGUAUCAUUUUCCAAUUUAACACAAUUCCCAUAUUGUAAAAAUAAAUAGAUGGUGUUUUUUGUAUUCAACCCAGCGCUUGUCUCUAGCAAUCUGGCUCAAACAAUUACCUCGGAGAACAUCAUAUCGUUGUGAGUACAAUUCGGAUCACUCAUUUCAGCAUUAAGUUAGAUUUUGCUCUUUGAUGGUAAUAUAUGAUGGAGUUUAAAGGAAAUUUUGUUUUGUUUAAUUCUGAUAUUCAGUGCCUUUCAACUUAGUCUAGAUUUUAACAUUAGAUACAUAUAUUUAGGUGGUUCAUGCCGCUGAACAUCUUGCUGACUUACAUUGUUGGCUCAUUUCUUGGAUGGGAAAUUAACAAAAUCACUAAAUCUCCUCAACAUUUGAAAGGCCUUGUAAUGGGUUUAUGUGCAGCAGGUUAGUGUUUUCUGGGUUCCUGCACAUCUGCCAGGUACAAUUAAAAAGACCUGCUAGACUUGACAAAAGCAUGCAGGUGAAGAGUCUUGGCAUAAACCAUAGAGAGCAAAUUGUAAGCAAAGAAGAUAGUGAAAUUCAGUAGUUCCUCAUACCUCAUUGCUUCCCAGAUGGUUCGGCAUAUCCCGUAAAAAGAAAAUAUAAAUUCAAUUUUGAAAGCAGAAAAUGUGGUUUAAAAUCAACAAGGUACUAGCUAGAGAGAAGUCAUAGAUGAGUUGGAAUCUACUUGCAAAACAGGUAGUUAAUAAAGAAAUAAGAUUAUGCCUAUAUGAAACUACUUAUUUUGAUACUGCCAAAAAAAAAAAAAGCUAAGAGGUUUGUAUUAUGGCUAGGAAACUUGGGGAGUCUGCCUUUUGUUCUCGUCCCAGCAAUAUGCCGUGAAAAGGGUAGUCCAUUUGGAGCACCAGAUAGCUGCCAUAAGUAUGCGAUGGCUUAUGUUUCUCUUUCUAUGGCGGUACGUGGCCCAGAUUUUGGUCUGCCUUUGUUACUUUAAACAAGUACAAAAUUGAUAGGACAAAUUACACUUUAUCUCCCUAUGGCUUAGUAUUUUUAAACCUAUAAUUUCAAAAGCUAUACAUAAGAUGAAAAUGGGAAUAAAAAUACCAUGAGAAGGUUAUGAAAAGUGUAAAAGUAUUGAAAGGAAAGAGGAAAGAGGAAAGAGGAAAAUCCAAAAUUAAAAGAAUUGAAAGGCUAAAAAAAUUGUAUUUUAGGGAAGUGAUUUGAAUAUUUUUUUUAAUCAUUUAAGGAGAAGAUAGAUCUCUGCAAUUCCUCUUUUUUAAUUUCAAUCAUUAAGGUGAAGAUUUUUGGGGAAAGAGGAAGAAUUAAAUAAAGAAGAAAGAGAAAAAGAAAUAAAAGAAAGGAAAACAAGGUAAAUGAAAAGUCAAAAUAAUGCAAGGGCAAUUUUGUCCUAAAGGGGAUUAAGUGAUCAAAAUUAAAGGUUAGGGGGUAAACUAAGAAAUGAGGUAUUCUUUAAGGGGAUAAAAUGUGAUUAACCCUUGAAUUAAAGUGUAAAAGUAACGGAAUUUGCAAUCCAUAAUGAAGUACCCUAAAAUAUCAAAAAUACCCCUAUAUAAAAUUAAAAAUUAUUUACUAACCGGAUGGGAUCACGUGUAUAUUUUGAAAACUAUAAGGAGGGUAUGCAGUAAAGUAUUAAAUCAUAAGGGGAUUUUAUGGUAAAGCAUAAAAUCAUCCGGGGUUAAUGCGUCAUGUAUAUUAUGUUUAUAUAUUUUGGUCAUUUCAGUCAUUUUAAUUUUUAAACAAGAGUAAUUUCGAUGUUUUUAAAAGUUCCGUUACGAAUGAUCAUUUCCGUCACUUUGACACUUUAAUCCAAACGAUGAGGGAGUUAUGUAUAGCUUUUGAAACCAUAGGAGGGUUAUAUACAAAAAAUAGUAAACUAUAGGGGGGUAAUAUGUAAUUUACCCAAAAUGAAAUGAUCAGUAGAUACAUUUUGGUUAGAAUAAUCUAUCUCCUGCUUUACUUAAUUUAGAGAGCCUGAUAAGUCUCGACUUCAUUAAUUAGUUGGUGGCAUUGUCAAUAAAACAAAUUCAUGGUUGUAUCAUUUUCUGUGAUUAUGUCUCAGAUAGGAGCCAUUUAUCUGUGGUCUAUUGUUUACAACACUGUUCGCGUAUCAUCAACUAUGAUCAAUGAAGUUAUAAAUGUGAACAAUGCAAAUUUUGAUGAAGAAACCUCAAAGGCCCUUCAAGAGCAGAUAAACUCUGAGUUUGACUCAGAAUGCACAUCUGCUACGGACCAUGCAAAUGAAUCUUCGCUACCAUGCGCUAAAACUGACAAGCAAGGAAAGGUCACCCAAUCUGUGGCAUUUCAUCGUGGAUUAUAUUCUUAGAUACGUGUUUUUGUGAUUCCAUAAGAAUUAAGAACCUUGUAAUUUGACGCCUUUCAAGAUUCCGUUGCAGGUUUUGAUCCUGGACACAAUUAAGAAGCAAUUAUAUUCGUUUUUCAGAAGCAGUAAUCUGAAGGCCAUUAUUGCACCUUCAACGACUGCAGCGGUACACUUUUCAAGGGCCUGGCAAUUCUUUGUUGAAUCAAUGGCAAAUUAACGCAUAUAUAUAAUUUGAUAGUCCUAAGGAGUAGCAGCGUCAAGUGCAGAAUAAUGUGUUUUGUAAUCCUGUCGUGUGUGUGUGUCAUUUUUACAAGAGAUUUUUUUUAUCAAAGUUUUUACAAGAGAAUGGAGCGGCAAAAUGAUGAGCAGAAAUUGUUCCAGACGGAACUAUCAUGCCCAAAAGGGGUUAGCAUUUCUAUCAGUAUCAACCUGAAAGACUGUUAGCCAGUACUAGCCAGUGACACGUUGAUAACCAUUAUUGUUAGGAAGUCAAGCACAUCUUUAAAGAAAUCCACUCUUUCAAGAACUUGAACCUUUAAAGCAAGGCCAUAAGAAAAUAUCCUUCCUGUUAAAGACUUCAUGUAUGUUCGUUGUUGACCAAUAAGGCAGUAGUGUAAAGUCUGGUGAACCGUAUCAGUCUUGCAUGUUAUGGUUGGGAUUGGAAACACGACGACUGCAAAAUCAAUUUACCAGGACAUCACUACUAAAGUACUCUCUCAUUUAGUUAUUGAUCUCUGCAGAUUGUUGGCUUCAUCAUCGGAUUAGUGCCCCCAGUACAAAAGUUACUCGUUGGCGCCGACGCUCCACUUCAUGUAAUCCAGGAUUCUGCUUUAUUGCUGGGGUAAAAAUCCUUGAUUGGUAACCUUCUAAUGCUGUUUACUUUGGAAUUCUUAUUCCAAAACCCUUUCAUAAUUCUGAAAUUUCAUCACCAAACGGUUAGUACAGAAGAAGAAAAGAUGCAAACCUGCUUGAAUUGUCUAAGGAACUUUGUCGUGAUAAUUAUAGGUAUUAUCCGACCAAGAUUCCUAGACUGAUUGAGCAUAUCAUAUGUGGGACAGUAUCUGAUACUCUGAACUUUUCUGUCUCUAGUUAAUUUUACCAGUGAUUCAUUCAGGUUGUCUUACCCUAUAAUUUCUCAUUUUCCUUUAUCAAUCCUAAAAUUCAGUUGCAGAGAAGCAGCAGUUCCCAUCAUCAUACUGACAGUGGGGGGAAACCUCCUUAAAGGUACCAGUACCAUACGUUAAAUCCUUUUUCUUUUUACUGUCUUGGAGCUAUAUGACUUGACUUUACCUAUGUUACAAAUGCCAAUUCCAUCCAACAUUGCAAAUUUCACCUUUUAGGUCUAAGAGGACCAGGCGUCCAGCUUUCCCUCAUUCUUGGGAUCAUUGCUGUUCGAUCUGUUGUCCUGCCUCUGAUCGGAGUUUUGGUUAUUAAAGGGGCAAUUCAUCUGGGCUUCGUGCAUGCAGAUCCAUUGUAUCAGUUUAUUCUUCUACUACAGUAUGCUCUUCCACCCGCUAUCAAUAUAGGUACAUUCAUUUUUCUCCACCCCGCCCACAACCAAAAGAAAAGAUCAAAACAAAUCAUGUGCACUGGUCUUUAGGUUUUGUGGCUUGCAAAUUGAAAUUGGAGUGGUGAUAAAUACUUUUUGAGGUUAAACGCGCUGCUAAAUCCGUUAAAUCUUUAUCCUCAGUUGCGCUUUAUCACCCUUAAACUCAUUAUAUAGGCAUUUUAUUCCCUUGUUUGAUAUUUUAAGGAAAAAAAAAUCUCCAUUCUAUAUUAAUUAUUUCUGACAUAAUCAAAUUUGUUUAGACAAGUUUCGACGUUUUUGCUGCUGACAACAUUGUCCAGCUGCGAUUCAAAUCUCAUGCAUUUUAGUUCCUUGUACCCUUACAUGCAUUUCCUAGUUUGUAUCUCAGACAGGGCAAAAAAAAAAAGGUGUAAAGCCCUUCUAACAAAUUCACCAAUGUACAGUUCAUAUUUCUCACUUGGCAGGCACAAUUACACAAAUAUUUGGAUCAGGGCAGUCAGAAUGUGCUGUAAUUUUGCUCUGGACAUACUCCGUUUCUUCAGUUACUCUAACACUUUGGUCAACCUUUUUCAUGUGGCUCGUAGCCUAGUUUCUUGAUUUUGCAGUUGCCAAUGAUAUUGCAAGAUGUAGUCGACUAGAAUUGGCUGCAUGAGCUAAUAUAAGACCGAACCAAAUUAACAAAUACUAUCAAAAUAUCAAAUUCGUUUGUUGCACAAGCUCAUUGUGGAUGGCUUUGUCCGCUCUCUGUAUCAGAUCUAUCCCAAUUUUAAUGUUUGACAUGGAUAUUGGACUUCUUUUCCCUUUUUUCUUUUGCUUCUUCUGGCAAGGGGACGUUGAUUCACUCCAAAGCUAACAGGAGAAAUCCACAUAUGGCUUACCAAUGAGAUUGAUAAAAGAAAAAUUGAAGCCAGUCACACCUUAUGGUUAACAAGAAUGCUUAAUUGGCUGGUAUGAGUUGGAAUCUCAACCUGUUGUGGGCUAAAAUUAGGCCUAGCAGAUUGGGAUUAACUAAUUGAUUUCAUCAUUAGUAUUCCACAAUGUGGUAAGAGCAAAUUAAAAACGGAAGAAGUUAAAUAAUUUAUAUGCACAUUUUAAUUUUGGAUCAGUAUUUUUUUUAUAAAGAGCAAAUUUUAUUAAUGAACUAUGAUAGGAUUUACAUCACUAUCAUAAUAAUAUGAUAAACAUGCACUAGUUGGAUUUACAUCACUAUCAUAUCAUAACAUAAUGACAUGCCAAACAUGCACUAGUUUGAUUUGCAUCUAUGUCCUAAUGGCGGGUUAAAUAUGCAUUAGAAAUAACAUAUCUGCAAUUAAUAUAACAGAUACAAUUGAUUUGAAAAUUUUUGAAUAAAUAUAGAAAAUAUAAAAAAAAAAUUAAUUAUUUUUUUAUAAGAUAAAUCGCUGCAGCUCGUUAGCAGAGACUUAAUUAAAAAAAAAUCUAUCGGAUAGAGAAAGACCUUUUGAGAAAAAGAAAAGAAGUAAAUAGAAGUUGGAGAAAAAAGAGGUACAGAAAAAGAAUUGUUGGAUUAGUAUUUCAUAGAUUAAAAAUAAAAACAAUUUUGUACACAACCGGAUAAAUGUCAAAUCUCUCUCUUUUGAUCAUCUAAUUAGAAUUUUGUACACAACUAGAUAAUUUUCAAAUAUCUCUCUUUUGAUCAUCUAAUUUUGUGUUGAAAUCUUCUUCUUCAAUAAAAUAAAAUAAAAAAGAAUUGUGUUGAAAUCUAACGGCCCUCCUUUCCACAAAGAAAGAGAUCCACGGUUCUCUUUCGUCCUCAUUAUAAUUCUUUUAGUAAAAUGAAAACUUUAUCUCAAAAAAAAAAAGAUGAAAAAAAGGAAAAACAAAACAAAACAAAGCUCUCUUCUUCCUCUGAACGCUAACUGCAACUUCAAACUUCCCUGAACAAGCUAUCAUUUUCCACAGAACCCCUAAUCAUCUCAAAGUUCGCCAAAUUAUCUUGAACGUCAUUUCAGCUCAACUGCCCAUUCACAGCAAAAUUGACGGUUAGUCUCUCACUAAUCACUAUGCCCUACUACUCCUUCGUGCCAUCUUGAAUUUCGUUUCUGUUCCAUGUAUGCAGCUUUAUUUGAAGAAUAUGAAAAUUAUUUGUUUGAUUUAUGUACCUGUAGAAUAAUUAUUUGCUACGAGAAAACCAUGGAUUUUGAACCACUAACAGUGGGCAAUGAUGUAACUGAAUUUGACAUGUUGGGACUGGGUAUCGGAAUUGGUUUGGGAGAAGAAACCAUUGAUAUUGCGCAUCCAAUGGAUGAGGAUGAGGAUGAGGAUGAGGAUAAAGAUAGAAACUUUGUGAACCCUUUUCAUAGUAGUAGUGAUGGGGUGAAUUUCAGUGGCAAUGGCGGUAAUUCUGGAGAAAUUUGUGUUCUUGGUGGAGAUACGAAUCUUGAACCCUAUGAGGGAAUGGAAUUUGAGUCUGAGGAAGCUGCAAAAGCGUUUUAUAAUUCGUAUGCACGUAGGAUAGGUUUUAGUACUCGUGUAAGUAUGUCCAGGAAGUCUAGGCGUGAUGGUGCUAUUAUACAAAGGUCGUUUGUUUGUGCGAAAGAAGGGUUUCGUAUAGAGAAGGAGAAGUCUGGGUGUAACGGUGGUAGGGCUAAGCGGCCUCGGGCUGAGACUAGGGUAGGGUGUAAGGCGAUGUUGGUGGUUAAGAUUCAAGAUUCGGGAAGUUGGGUCGUGUCUAGUUUUGUGAAAGGGCAUAACCAUGAGCUUGUUCCGCCUGAUAAGGUGCAUUGUCUACGUUCACACAGGCAUGUUUCUGGGGCUGCCAAGUCAUUGAUCGAUACCUUGCAAGGGGCUGGUAUUGGCCCCAGUGGGAUAAUGUCAGCUUUGAUAAAGGAGUAUGGAGGAAUUAGUAAUGUUGGGUUUACGGAGCGUGAUUGUAGGAAUUAUAUGAGAAGUAGUAAACAGAGGACUCUUGGGGGUGAUACUCAGGUUCUCUUGGAUUAUUUUAAACUGAAGCACUUGGAGAAUCCUGCUUUUUUUUAUGCAGUGCAGGGAGAUGAGGAUCAGUGCAUGAGCAAUAUCUUUUGGGCUGAUCCUAAGGCUCUGUGUAAUUAUACUUAUUUUGGGGAUACUGUUACAUUUGAUUCAACUUAUAGGUCCAACAGGUAUAGGUUGCCUUUUGCCCCAUUUACAGGGGUGAAUCAUCAUGGACAGCCUGUUUUGUUUGGAUGUGCCCUUCUCAUAAAUGAGUCUGAGGCAUCAUUUGUUUGGUUGUUUAAAACUUGGCUCGCUGCAAUGUCUGGUAAGCUGCCCAUCUCAAUCACGACUCAUCAUGAUCGAGUGAUUCGUUCAGCUGUCACCCAAGUUUUUCCUGAGGUACGUCACAGAUUCUGCAAGUGGCACAUUUUCAAGGAAUGUCAGGAAAAGUUAUCUCCCAUGCUUUCUGAACAUCCAACUUUUGAGGCAGAGCUUCAUAAAUGUGUCAACUUUACUGAUUCUAUUGAAGAAUUUGAAUCUUGUUGGUGUAACCUUAUUGAUGGAUAUGCUCUUCGGGAAAAUGAAUGGCUUCAAAAUGUUUAUGCUGAUCGCAAGCAGUGGGUUCCUGUGUACUUGAGGGAUACUUUUUUUGCUGAACUGUCUAUUACACAGCGCAGUGACAGCAUGAACUCCUACUUUGACGGAUAUGUAAAUGCUUCAACAACAGUUCAAUUAUUUAUAAAACAGUAUGAGAAGGCUCUGGAGAGUCGCCACGAGAAAGAGGUUAAAGCGGAUUAUGAUACCAUGAACGCUGCACCCAUUCUAAAGACGCCAUCACCAAUGGAGAAACAAGCAGCUGAUAUUUAUACUAGGAAACUAUUUAUUAAGUUUCAAGAAGAAUUGGUAGAAACACUUACCUUCUUGGCUACAAAAAUUGAGGAUCAGGAGGAAGCCACCACGUAUCAAGUUGCCAAAUUUGGGGAAAGUCAUAAAGUUCACUUCGUCAGAUAUAGUGUCAGAGAAACGAAAGCAACCUGUAGCUGUCAGAUGUUUGAGUUCUCUGGUCUACUUUGCAGACAUAUAUUAACAUUCUUUAGGGUUGCAAAUGUUCUGACUCUUCCACCUCUUUAUGUUUUAAGAAGAUGGACAAAAAGUGCGAGAAGCAGUCUAAUGUUGGAGGACGCAACCAAUGAUCUGUCAAAUGGCUCUCGAGAAUCUCUUACUGCCAGAUAUAACAAACUUCGUCAUGAGGUUUUCAAAUAUGUGGAUGAAGGUAUGCAGACUGAGGAAACUUAUAAUGCGGCAAUGGAUGCCUUGCGAGAGGCUGCAAAUAAAGUUUCCAUGGCUAGAAAGACGGCAAGAACAAGUUCAGAUUCCAAUAGAACCCGCAAGCAGGAUCAUUCUACACUUGAACAUGAUGAAAGUAACAUUGAUGGUGUUCAUCCAUUGGAUUCGGUGAGUUUUUUUAUUCUUUUCAUUCUGAUGAAACUUUUCAUGGAAAAGGUUUUCAGUUGCAUGUCUUAUUCUUGCUAUUAAUUUUUUAUUUAAUUUAGUGUUCCCUUGCAUGUCUUGUAUUUCCCAUAGAGGAAUGACUCCUAUAUUGAGGAAGCAUUUCAGAUUGUUGGCAGUUUUUCCAUACAGCACAUUGGUGCUCCUGUUGUCAUGAAUCGUUAAGAAGACACAAUACAGCCUCUUUGAGUCGGUCUACAACAGUUUUUCCAUAAAAACUCUUUCCUUUUUUUUUUCUUUCCUGCAUGCCCCAUUGAGUCGGUCUACAUACAGCCUUUUAUUUGAUUAGUGGUCAGUUUGCUAUACAGCCUUCUAAAAUACCAUGCUCUUUUAUGAGAAUCUUUUUGUACACAUACAAGGUGAAAUAGUAAAUUAGUGUGGCUGAUCAUUUAUUGGAGAAUAUUCGUGUAAUCUUUUUCGUUUUCUUUUUUCCUUUUUAAAUGCCUGCAGUAAAUACAAUAGUUUAUGUGCCAGUCAUGUUGAGAAAAUGUCAUGCUUGAUAAUUUAAUGUGCGAAUUAGCAGAGAGAAAGAGAAAAACGGAGAAACUUAUCUGAUCAUAGGAAAAGUGGAGAAACUUGUCUCUUUUUUUUUUUUUUUUAAAAUUCUGGACUAAUUUCAUCAAAAAUUUACCUUUUUGGUUUAGGAUGAGCAGGACAAGAAGAUACAGAAACUCACACGGCAGCUUAAGCGUGCUCAACGGAAAUGUGAAGCAUACCGGGCUAAUUUAUUUUCAGUUCUGAAAGAUAUUGAGCAGCAAAAGUUGCAACUGUCUGUAAAAGUUCAGAACAUUAAGUUAGACAUGAAAGAUUAGAAAUAAAGUAACUCUCUUUCUGUUUACAUGCUGAAUGGUAGAGAAUAUGCAGCAGAAGUCAUUCACUGUAGACAUGGAAUUCUUGCACUGGAAGUGGUACGCAAUCUUGGGGUCAUAAUUAAAUACAAUUACCAAAGUUGUGUGUAUCUAAGACUGUUCAGAGUUGAUUUUGAUGUCCUUUAACCUGGUAUCAUGCAGAAUUAUCAGAAUGAGCUAGCAAGAUUUUUCAUUUCUAUUCCACUUAUUUUCUCUCACAGUUGACCUGAAUCUUAUGGGGAUUAACGUGAAUACAAGAGCAGCAGUAGGAUGAAACUUUUUUGUAGGUUAUAGUAGUUAUAUUGCCAUAACUUCUAUGGCUUCAAGGUUUUGUAAUGAUCAUGAAGUCAUUUAAGAUGGAGAAUCUCAAUAGAGGUUCAAGACCAACAUGGGCUUAUUCUUGUGAGACGCAAAGAUUUGAGAAAGUCGGUAGUUAGCUCCACUGGGUCUAAGAUAUGUGGCCAAUCCUGUGUUUGAGAUUCAACUAAAGGUGGUCUUUUUCUUUCGCUUUUGGCUGCCACAAAAUGUUUCUUUGAAACUCUACAAAAAUUUGACUCGUGCACCGAAAGCUUGUACAUAUUUCAUCAACUGCUCGUGACCUUGUAGAGUGUUGGACAUUUGGCACAAUUUUUACGAUUUAACAACUAAGCUAAUUCUUUAAAAUUCACUUUGCUGAAUGAAAAUGAGAUUCUUCAAAUUCUCAGACUGUUAUGUCCAAGUCUUGAAAAUUAAGAACGCAUACUUGAAACGAAAAUCAAGCUAAUGCAAACUGAAACUGCAGCAGCAACCUAAGAUCAGCAGCCCGGAUGGUGCUAGCUGGCGGGUAGUUCCUCUUUGUUUGUGCAGGCAACGCUUGCGUCUACGCUCGGCACAAACUUGCACUUCUGCGGGCAAUACUUGGAAUUUGUUGCAAUUCUUGCGAUGAGAGAAAGUAUCAGCUAAAAAAUUCGCAAUUGAAGAUCAGCAUAACCAACCCUUUCCUUGUGCCUUUCAAAGAGAUCUUGUAGUGCAGCAACAAAUUGCCCAUGCACUUCAUCAACCUUCAUCGAAUUUAAUUGACAAGCAGAAAAAGGAAAAUAGAAAAAAGAUUGAAAGUUAUUUCCAAUGACUUGGCAGCCAAAUAGUUUCCUACAGAAAGAAAUUAGAAUCGAUUGGAAAACUAAAUCCAUUUUUCCCUUUUAACAAAUGCAACUUCGGCAAAAUACUAGAAGCAUUUUGAGAGGUGCCUAGUCACCUGGGCAAGUGUUUACCUUGCAUGUCAAUGACAAAAAAUCCUCAAGGCAUAAUUUAACCGUCCUUUCUGAAUUUGAACGCCGAUUGAAUUUACAAAGUAUAAGGGAUUAUUACAUGAUUAAUAUAUACUAGUCUUACACUAAUCAAUAAGGAGGAAAGUCUUAUCCGUAGACAUAAACGAGUUGAAUUCAAUGGGAGAAACACAUUGAUAUAUGAUUCGCUAAGAUGGUGUUUAAGAAGGAUACCUCUUUCACGGUGGGUUGUGGAUUUUGUUGGAGGACAAUAGGUUUUCCAACCACAACAUGCAUUGGACGCCUAAAAGGUAUAGGAGACCUGCAAGAGGUCAAGCAACUCCAUAACCAGCCGUAUCAUAGAAGGAGAACAAAAAAAUGAAGCUUAGUUUUCUUCAGCAGAAGCUGAAUGAUACUUUGUAGCAGAUACAAGAAGCCAGACAUCCAGAGGUCCUGGCAACUAUGCUGUUGCUGAUAACCUUGUUAUUGAACCGGGUUGUUGCGAAAACACAUAGACGUCAUCAUUAUGAUACCAUUUUAACACAUGAAAACUUGAGAAGGAAAAGUUGAUAAUGCAUUAGAGCACCGUUUUGCUCUUGCAAUUUCAUUGAAAUUAACUUACCCAAGUGUGCCCCAGAAAAUAACUGGCAUAAACUUGAUAGCUCUCGAGAACUGCAAGAACCAUUUUCCCUUGGGCUUCCACCACUUGUACGCUUCUGACUGCUCAAGAAAUGGCCCAUGAAAACAUAAAUUCAAGGUUUGUAGUGUAGAACACAAAUUAAUUCAACAUCCUCAAACGAUUGCUUGCUACUUUCCCUUAAAAUGGGAAAAAAGGAACAGAACAAGUUUUCUUGCUACCCGAUCCUAUGUGCUCAUUUUCCACGAAUAAAUACCUGGCCAAAGCAAAAAACCGGGACCAGCGGUUUGCCCGUCUCCAUAGCAACCCGUACAAAUCCUUUCCUUUUUUUGAGGAAGACAUUCUACAAGUGUUUUCAGCAAUUAACCAGCUGUUAGCGAAGUCAUUGGCGUGAAAACAAGAGGAAAAGGAUGCAAAUACAGUUCUUUCCGAUACAAUAAUCUCGGUAUAUAAGCAUGGGAAAUGGUGAAUUUGGCCUUCUAUCAUCUCACACUAAAUCAGAAACACAUAUUGACAAUGUGAUUGUAAACCAUCAUGUUUUUUAAGUAAAAGAACAAGGUGAAAAAGUUGAACCUCUGAACCAGGCUCCAUAUAGUACGUUUCUUGAGUUCCUCCUGGCACUAUGAUGCAGCUAUAGCCAGAUUCCAAAAGGGUAAGAAAAUUUUUCUUGGUUGCCGGUUUAAUUCCCAACCAUGUGGCUAUAUGUCGCAAGAACGGUGCAUAAAAAACCUGAAAAGUGCAUUAACAGGAAAAGUCAAGCUUUAAAAAUCUCAUCAUAACCGUCAAUUUGUCAUCUUAAAGAGUAUAGAUACAAAAUUCUACAAGGGCAUAGAUCAUACAGCACUAGUUCCGAGGAUUUUGGUCUUUGGGAGUGGCAUGAAUCCUGUAAGGUUGGAAAGUGCAAUUUCCCCAAUUGGCACAAGUGAAUGUGGCUCGUACCCGAAAACUGCAAACGCAAAAGAUCUAGUUCAUCAUCUUAUGCUAGGAAGACAGGAAAGGUAGAGGGUGCCACGGUAAUUGGCCGAUCAUUUCCAAGCACGAAAGCUACCCAAAUAAUUUUGCAUCCAACUAGGAGAUUUAACUAAAAUCAAUAAGAAGUUUACCGUAAGCUUGUUUAGGAUCGAAGGCUUUAUAGUCCUCCACAUACAGAUUAACUGGAAAGUAACCACAAGCAUGCUUACAUAUAUACCUGAAGAUGUCACCACGUAAACAUGAAAUCUCGUAUCAAUAUGGAUAACAAAAGUAGUACACAACAUAAUACAGAAAAAUUCAUGUCCAAUUGGAACCUGUAUUAAAUUAAAUGUGCUUUUUAAUCACUUUUUUUUAUCUCAUAGUCAUAAAAUAUGUAAGUAGUUUAACAACUCAAUCCAAAAGAGAGAAUAAUAUAUAAGUAGUUUAAUCAACCUUGAUAAGUUCCGUCCCCAUUUGCUUCCUUCGCAAGUUGGAAGCACCGUAAACAAAAUCAGCAACGCUAUGACCCUGGAGAGAGAGAGAAAGCAAAAAAAAAGAGAGAGAGUUCAUAUGUUCCUACAUUUAGAGGAUAUAUAAAAAAUGAAGAGAGAAAAGGAAACGAACACCAAAGCUUUGGAGGGAGGAAGAAUUAUGAAGGAAGCCAAGACGAUGAGGCCGAUAAGAUGAGCGCAACCAAGCACAAGCAUAAGGGCGAAAACGGCGUGAAGUAUGGAGCCCGGAGCUCCCCUGAACUCCGCCGCAUGAGUUGGCUCAGUCGCAGUCCCCGGGGCUGGCCGUCGGCGACUCAAUUCUCCAUCGUCCUUCUUCUCCAUAUACCCGGCAAAUGAUUAAAUAUGUUGUGGUAAGACUAAAACUAGAAAUUUAUCAUUUGCAUGUUGCCUCAGACUCAGAUAUAUAAACACUAUUGGGUAUAAGACACAAACGUCAAGCACGAGCAUGUGCGCCAUUAAUGGUGCACAGGAAGGUGGUUGAGCCACUUGAUAGUAAAUGCGACCGGUUACCCAGAGAGUCUGCUCUGCUGCUUGGUUUGGGUUUCAAGGCCAAGAAAGAACACUUGGGAUCCUCACGGGUAGUAAAAUUAUGCUUUCAGUUUUGGUCUAUCACAAAAUUACUACUGUCACCUAUUUAUAAUCCAUCUAUAGGGAAAAAAAAAAAAAAAAAAACUUGCGUCUUUUCCUAUUUUGGGAUAGUUUCAGAUUCUAUCAUCCUCACGGGUUGUAGCCAGGCGCAUGAUUUCAGAACCAUUGAUCGCAUACAAUUUUUUGUACUCCCAAGAAUUGAUUCGUCCUCAUUUCAAAAAAAAAAAAAGAAUUGAUUCGUCCUUGUCCAUGUAUUUGCAUAUACAAUAACCACAUAUUUUAUGUUUUGAUGGAUCUUUCAAGUCAAAUAAUACUACACCAUUUGAUGGAUCCGAGCCUCUGUGCAAGCAAGGUGAAGAAGCUGCAGUGUAACUAUGUAAUAAUAGGUCAGACUGGAUUGAACUAUAACAUUAACAGGUCAAUCUGACGUUAGUCAAAUUAGUCAAAUUAAACUAAACGGAUAUGGUUCGAUAGGAAUUAUGAUUGAACCAUUAAUUGCGUUGCGCUGUUACACCCACCAAACCGUACGUACGUGACCCUCAAUCCCCAUCCCCUUUGAUGGCGUUUUGACAAUUUCAGAUAGCUCCCCUCAAGUUUAUUAAAUUACAACUACUCCUUUGCUUUUACUAUUUAUAUAAUAAUUAUAAGCUCAAAAAACUAUCAUUUUUUUUCAAAAAUCCUAAACUACCCUUUUUAUACAAAAAUAAAACAAAAAAUAUUUUGCUAAUUGCUUGCUUCCAUAUUUCAACCAAAUCUGCUAUACUAAUAAACUAGCCUAAAAAAUAGUCUUAUUUCAAAUUUUAAACUCAAGUAAUUCUAUCAUCAUAGUCAUAAAAUUGCUUCUUCCAAAGCAUGCAUUCAAUUCUAAAUAUUCGUUUCAUCCUUAGAAAUAUUAUCAUCAGAUAGUUUCAUGGAAUGGUCAAAUUCACAAUCACUGCCCUUAUAUUUCUAUAAUUUUCAACAUAGGACACGCUCCAUAUAAGUUGCUCAACUUCUACUACAUGAGCCACAUUAUGGCCUUGAAGAAAAUCCUUUGGAGAGAUUUAGGCAUGCAUGAGAUUAAUCAAGUUUAAGAGAAGGAAGGCAUCAUUAUGACUAUAGGGAUUUUCAAGAAAUUCAUUUUGCCAAAAAUCAAGACUCUAUUUAUAACUAAUCACACCCCAAAUUUCAAAAUCCAAUGCUCACACCUUCUCAAAACAAAAUAAUCUAGUCUACUAUCAAAUCUCCAAACAUGUUAACAUCUUAAAUUCAGAGAAGAAACUCUAUCUCCAUGGCGAAACCACAACCAACAAUUGUCAAGUAUUAAAAAAAUAUAAAUGUACUUAUUAACAUCUUAAAAAAAAUUUUGGAUGGAUGAUAAACAAAUUAGUAAAUUUACCAAUUUCGUCCAUCUUCCUCUUUUGGCCAAUAAUUGCAUUAUUUGUUCCAUUAUUAUUUUAUGACUCUUCAUCUCUUUUUAGUUUGAUCAUGAAAUCUGAAUUUUACUUCAACCAUCAAAUCUAAUCCUUUAACUAAAUUUGUGAUUUGACAAUUCUAAAGAGAAGAAAGAAGGAAUAGGAAAAUAUAGUAAAGUUUGAGGGAUCACUUGUGAUGUAGUUAGCUGUAGUUAGAGGCAAUGAUUGAUGGUAAUUUGAAAGCGAAUUCUAGGAGGGAGGGGUUGAUAGAUGAGAACGGAGUGAUAAUAAGUAAGAGAAAAAUCGUCAUUAGUUGUAACGUGUAAAUAGAAUGGUCGAAAAAGUCAAAUUUCUUUAUUUUUAAUCUCAUUUCAUUACACUGUGAAUUAUUUAUUAAGUGAAGGUCAUUAUAGUCAUUUUAUUGUGAUAAGGGAGGUCAGUAUAAUUUAUAAAAUCUAAGGAGAGCCGAGUGAAAUUGUCAUAAAUCUCAAGGGAGGUUUGUGAAAUUAUCCCUAGUCUUUAAGAAGAAGAAGAAGAACAAGGGGGAUAAAAUAACCCCCUCUCGCCAAAAAAAAAAAGGGAAAAAAAGGGAACCUUGUACGGUAACUUCACCAAAGUACUCGAUACAACUUUUACGUAUGCUGAUUGAUGCAACUCCAAACUACUACACAUAUAAGAAUUGAGUACGGAGCCUAAACAGGGGCGACACUGGAAAUUAGAGCACAAUCACCCCGCAUCUUUCCAUUAUUCUGGAUGCUGCAUGCAGCGACUGUUUUGAGUCCCAUAAGUAACGCAGCCAUUGGAUGAUUCCGGCCGAGGCAUUUCUCCAUUUUGACCUGUCACCAACAGUUGCUGCAGAAUCGAACAAAUUUGACAAGUUCAGAGAGUUACCCAUGGUAUGGUAACUUUUGUCUCAAUUAACUCGAGAAUUUAUGAAAGUCUUGGUCCUCAAAUGACAAGAUUUUUGUAAUCUUUGUAGAUGUUGUAUGCUUCAUCGUCCUCAGCUGGACUGAACGGACUAAUGAAGAAGUCUGCUCAUCUACUCUGUGAGCCGCAUUAACGAGUCUCUCAUACAGCUCGACGCGAUAAAACCACCAAAGCAGAAAUAUCUUGAUGAAUUUUAGGUCCAAAGGGAGGAACUCAACUCAAGUUUACCUUUUUUUGUGAAACAUUUACUAGUCCAAAAAUUUAUGACCCCCUCGUUUCCAUAAUUGUGGAUACCCUGAAAGAUUUUCUUGUUGCACAUGUCUAGGGAGGAGCAGACACUACUAUUUUCCGGCUUAAUUGUACUACAUGUACACGGUUAGUUUACCAUCAAAUGGCAUGAGUCCUUGACUUGUGGUAAAAGGGCUGUGCAUAACGAACCUUAAAUCUAUAUAUAAGAAUCGGGAUCCAAAUCACAAGAUACAAUCAAUGUACAACCCUCUGAAGGCAACAAGAAGAUAUCCAAGACACUUUCAUGUCAACCCAUUAAAAAGGAAAAAAAAAAAAAAGAAGCUCAUGUCAACUUCUACCGUUUUUAACUCUGAAAAUAGUACAGCGAGGCAUACAGUACAUAUUAUUCAAACAGACAGAAAGAACAAUAGCAGGUCACUGAUAUGUAUAUGCGUGUCCGUGUAUGUAUUUCCCUUUUGGGCACCAGUUCAUUGAUUAGAUAACUUCAAAAUAUAUUCUGUACAUCAGUUCCAGUACAAGGCUUACAUGCAUUUUUAAUGCUUCUGGUAAACCUAUCAGCGAUAUCUGGUUUUCUUUGCGCAUUUCCAAGGAAAAGAGCAUUCAAAGAUCAGAGAUGAGAUGUCUGGAGAGGCUCCUGGGUCCUUAACUGGAGUUUCUUUCUCCCUAUCUUUCAAUUUCUUAAGCGUAUAUUGGAUUCUUCAAACGCACCUGGAAGUAAUGCACACCGAACACAGGGAUAGCAAUCUCUAUAUCCCUGAAGUGCAUGGAUACAAGGUUUUCCUCAAAGAAUUUGCAACUGAAGAUCAGCAUAACCAACCCUUUCUUUAUGCCUCUCAAAGAGAUCUCUAAGUGCUUCAACAAACUGGCCAUGUACUGCCGCAACCUUUUAUUCGAUUUAAUUGAAAUAGAAAAAGAACUCAGUUAGAUCCCUGGAAUCCUUUGCCCAUUUGGCUCAGAAAACUAGCAAAACACAAACAUCUGUGCUUCACCUAAAAUCUCCCUAAAGCAAUGCAGACCUGUAACUAUAGUCUCUUGUUGGUGCAGUAAUGUACCAAUAUAUUGCAUAAAUAAAAGAACAGUCAUAUUGUUAGAAAGGUGCCAGAAAUGAAUUUCACUCAGAUAAUUCCACCAGAAGAGAUGAACUGGCAAUACACAUACAAGUGUACAUAAUCUGUAGGCCUCUUCAAGCACCACAGGCUGAAAAGUAAGUUCCUAUAAUAGUUUCCAAUGGAAAAUAAAGUGUUAAAUCCAUUAAUUUCUAACAAUGAAAGAUAGACGAUAGCUCUCUAUGAUCCGCACCCCAUUCAUUGGAUUUCCCUUACAUCGACAUAAUUUCAGUUGCCACAAAAUAGUUUAAUUUCAUGUAUAAAAAACCAAGGUUCUGGAAGUACCUCUUCCGCAGUAGGUUGUCGAUUUUUCUUGACUUCAAUUGGUUUUCCAACAACAACAUGCAAUGGAUGCCUCAAGGGCAUAGGAGACCUGCAAGAGAUUACUAUAUGCUUAACUCCAAGUGAAGUGACAUUCAAUAAAGGAAACUAUCCAAGAACUACACUUUUUGGAAAUAAAAGAUCAUCUGCAUAUCACUUCCCCAAUGAAGAACUCUAUUAUUUUAGUUUAGAAUUUAUCCGGCUUCAUCAUGCUACUUCAGAUGCUCUCAUUAAACAACAACAGACCACUAAUUUAGUCCAAGUAAAAUUAACCAUGCACAAGACAUGGCUAAAAGUAAUUUGGAUUGACAUACCCAAGGACACCCCAGAAAACAAUAGGGGUGAAUUUUAUAGCUCUAGAAAAUUCCAAGAACAACUUGCCACUGGGCUUCAACCACCUGUAGACCUCUCUCUGCAUCAAAAUGAGAAUCAAGAAGAGAAGUACAUAAAUCAUUCAGUGGCAAGAUGCAAAAGCAAAGCUUUACUAUUGACAAUAGCCCUCGUGAUAUUGUGAGUGAAGGCUCCAAUUCUUAGCAAUAUAGCACAAGGGAAACUCAAAUAUGGACAUGUUUAUGCUCUAGCAGCAUAAUUUUUUUAGGGCAAAACACGGGAAACCAAUAAUAUAUAAUGGCCCCAUUCAAAGCCAAAGGUAUUCUGCUACGUAUGUGUAGUGCAAUACACAAACCUUAGACAUUAGAGAGGGUGUGUUAUCAUUUUUUUUCAAGCUCUUCGACAUAGGACAUGGUGCCAAAUUUCCAAGAUCUUUUAGAUAUCAGAUGUUAUGAACAGGAGAGAUACAUACAUACAUACAUAUAUAUACAUAUAUAUAUAUAUAUAUAUAGAGAGAGAGAGAGAGAGAGCAACAAGUACCUGCCCAAAGCAAAAAACUGGAACUAAAGGUUUGCCCGACUCCAUAGCUAUCCGUACAAAUCCUCUCCUUGACUUAAUAAAGGCAAUCUACAAUGACAAGCUACACAAUGAACACCAGCUAAGGGAAUUACAGGCAUGACAGGAAGAAAAAUAGAGGGGAUUUUCUAGUCACAAGAGUAUAUGCGGAAGUAGGAUACGAUAAAACUUUGGGCAAUUCCAACAUCCCCUCACACAUUUCUAGUUUGUUUUCUAAACUACACGGACAAAGUUUCUUCCUUUCUCCCAUCUCUUUUAGAAAACUCAACCAUAACACUAAGAGAACUCAAAAGACGAAAGGAUGCACAGAUGAGCAGGAAAAUUAUGUGGAUAAAUUGCCUACCAAUCUCAAUCUUCUUGUCCGAAGAUAGAGAUAACAUGUUUUGUAAUACAAUUUGGUGAUCAAUGCAGAAUAGUCUAUGUUUAUCUGGAAAGUCCUAUUUUGUGCUUUUCAAAGAUGAAUAAUGGAUAUGUGCACCAAAUACUAUGUGAACAUCAUGGUUUGACGUAUACUUCAAUAAAGUGGAUCUUUCACAGCAUUACAAUCCUCUCAAUAGCUAUCCACAUAAAAAAGUGUAACAGAGUUGUAUAAUGUUUAUAACUAUAUCAGAUUUGCAAAGCUUGGUAGCUAAAAAUCAUAUAUAUAUAUAUGCAGAACAAAUGAUGAACUUUGACUCAAAAAUCCAAGUACAACAUUAAACCUCUGAACCAUGCUCCAUGUGGAAUGCCUCUUGAACUCCACCUGGCACUAUGAUGCAGCUAUAGCCAGAUGCCAAAAGGGAAAGAAAGUUUCUCCUCGUUGCUGGCGCAAGUCCCAACCAUGUCCAUAUAUGCCUCAGGAAUGGUGUAUAGAAAACCUGGUCCAAUUUUUUCAUAACUCACACGAGUCAUUUCCUACAACGACUAUAUAACUAAGUUCACAUGAAUAAUAGGCCUAAGGGUCUUACAGCAGUACUUGCAAGAACCUUGAUCUUGGGGAGAGGCAUAAAACCUGUAAGGUCGGCAAGUGCAACAACCCCAAUUGGCCAAACAGAAUGCGGCUCAUAGCCAAAAACUGUACAGAAGAACUUCUACUUUUAUAUCAUUUUCAUGGAAAGUGCUGGGAGAGGGGAUAUUUCCCAACAAAACAUGCUUCAAUAAAUGCAUGAGGCUGGGAAGAUUUGCAGUGGAAAAGGGGAUCAAGCGAGAUAAAGAAAGAAAGCUAGUGAAAUUUGUCUGCCUCGAUACCUUAAUAGUCAUUCUCAGAAACUUGGACCCUCAUUGGGUUCAUAACUAAUGUCUUCCUCUAGCUAAAAUGCAGUAAAUCAUUAACGGAUGGAAAUUUCUUGAUUUAUAAAGAUCAAAUGUAAAAGUUCUUUUGAAUGAUUAGAGCAUUCCUUAUAAAUCAAGUCAUGAUCUGUACUAUCUAGAAUUGGGUUUCGUCGAAAACUAUCAUGGUUUGGUCAAGACUCCUUUACUAAAGACAAGUGUCAUUAGCUUUUUCGACUACCCUUCUAGUAAAUGUUCCAGAAGAUACGGUACUAUUUACCACCACCCCAUCAAUUAUGAUGAUCUUUACAGCGAGCCUGAAAAAAGUUGAUCUUGACUUGAAAGGGAAGGCAAAUACCGUAAGCCUGAUUAGGAUCAAAGGCUUUAUAGUCCUCCACAUACAAACAAACGGGAAAGUAACCGCAAGCAUGCUUACAUAUAUACCUGAAAAUUUACCAAACAAAAAAAAACGCCACCAAUUAAAUGAACUCCCAAGUUUGUCUGUCAUUAUCUGAAAUAAAACAAAAUUUUUAAAGAUUAACCUAGCUAAUUUUCGUCCCCAGUUGCUCCUCUCAUCAAUAGGAAGCACCAUAAAUAUCACCAGCAAUCCAAUUACCCUGAAAAUUUUUUUUAUUACGACAACAAUUUCAAACACUUCACAAAGAAUAUAUAUUAGACACACACACAGAGAGAACAGAGAGAGCGAGAGAAAAAGACUGACGCGAGGGCUUUGGAGAAUGGAAGGAAGAUGAAGGAGGCGAAGACGAUAAGGGCAUUGAAGUGAACCGAGCCAAGCCAAAAUAUCAGCGCCAGGACCGUAUGAAAUAAUGAGCCUCGAGUUCCCUUGAACUCCAGCGCCGUCGACUGCUCCGGCGGUUGCUUGUGAGCUAACAAUUCUCCAUUCAUCUCCGUCGUCGCCAUAUGCUGAUGAUCUUGAGACCGAGAAGUAGAACCAGGACUUCGUUAUUAUUUAUGCAGAGCCAGAAACAAAAGAGCCAACAGAAAAUGAGAAGAGUGCCGUCAAGUUAAGAGAUGACAAAGUUGGUGUCUGGUGCCUCACUUGGGUGCCUUCCACCAUUUGGAAAUUUUGUGACUUGUAUGCUUACUUUCGCUUACGUCUCUUAUAUAUACGUCACUACCAAACUAUAUUUUAAAAAAAAUUGAAACUUAUUAGUACUAGUUUGUAAAGAAAUAUUUCAAAUAAUGUUAAAAUUUGCAUUGAUCGAAGAAUUAAUACUACACAAAAGAGGAAAAAAAAAAAAAGAAAACUUGAAAAAUGAAGACUACUCUUUUUUCUUUCCUUUUAUUUUUUUAUUUUUAUUUUUAAUUUUGGGCCUUGAGAAUGAAUGAGACAUGGGGUGAUGGCGAUGCAAAAUGGAUGAUUCUAGUAGUGUAAUUUUACCCGUCGAGCCAACUCUCAUUGACUUUUUUUUUUUUUUUUUGGGGUCCUAAAUCACUAGCUAUCGAAAUGUUUUCCUCGGCCUAAAUCAAAUAAUCAUCGGGAGCCCGAUCCUCAUGUUUCUCAUUUUAUUAGCACUUGAACAGAGGUUUCUCAUUUUAGUACUUGAACAAGUUUUAAUUAAUCACCGCCGCAAGUCCCAAACAGAAAUGCAAAAAAUAAAAUUUGAGGUUUCGUCAUGAAGGUUUUGAAAAUGUUAAUAGUCAGUGGUAAAACAGCUUUAGAAGCUUUAGUUGAACUAAUUCACUCUUCAAUGGCUUGCUUACAAAGUUUAAGAGUCAAUUAAUAUUUUUCAUUUCUUUCCCUUUGCUGCUUGCUUUUCUUUCUCUUUUUUGUUACUUACAAAGUUGGAGUUAGUAUUUGCUUGUAUCAGAGUUACUAGUAUUUUUCAUUUCUUUCUCUUUGUUGCUUACAAAGUUUUUUUUUUUUUUUUUUAUGUUUUGUUGCUUACAAAGUUGGAGUUAGUAUUUACUUGCAUCAUAAACGCAUUUUUAAUCAAAUUUUUUUAUUAUAUUUUUAUCUUAUAUACAUCACAUCAUAAUCUAUACUACAGUAAUUAUUUCAAAAAAUUUGCUAUCCAAACACACGCUUUGAUUGUUAGCUACUGUUAUGCGGUCAUAAUUGUGAUGAUCCACCUAACACAAGGUGGCACUAAUCGUCUUUAUUAAAAGCAAGAUAACAACGUUCGAUGGUCCAUAAAACCGUAAUAAAAGUUGUAUUUAUUUGGAGUUAGUUGACAGUUGAGACUCAUUGUUAAACAUUAGCUGUCCGUUGUCUAUGGAUCUGAUUCUAUUGCCUUGAUCAAAGAGAAGGAUGCUUAUCAGAGUAACAGUACUCAGCAGAAGCAAAGCUCCAAAUUUCAGUCCAUUGAUAAUUAACGAUCGAAGAUGGACUGGUGUUUCUCCCAGAUUGUUCUCCAGGACAUGAAUCUUCUUUUAGCAUCCCAGAAAUCUUUUGUAACCUUUCUCACUCUGUCUUGGGCCAUUCUUGUGACCUUUCUUCUCUGCAUCGCAUGCUAAGCUAGAGUCCCGGUCCUGGUCUUCCAAAUUGGCCAUAGGCCAUACUAUUAUUCAUUAAUCAUUCAUGAGGUUCCUCCCGGCAAAGUUUAGAAGAAUCCAACAAACUUUUUAAACAUUAUGGAUCACGAGCAUAGCCGUGUGUCUUGCUCUAAAUGCAACAGGACUCUGAUUCCCCUGGAGGGUGAUAUUAGCUUCAUGAUUCUCAUCUUGCCUUCCUGAACCUGUAGAAGAUGUAAAACCAUGAUCUAACUUUUCAGAACCUGGAACUGUAGAUGAACUGAAGACAAAGUUUUGCAUUGAUCAUCCUCUUGUUUAACUUUUUGGACGACAGGAUUGUUCGAAUGUCUUGCUGACAGACUAUGCUUCUCUUCCAGAAGCUGCAGCUGCAUCAAUUAUAAUUUGUUGCAGUCAGGAAAAUGACCAGUUGUGCAAAUAUCUACAAGGAAAUUCAUAAGUACGUACCAAAAUGACACAAAAUAAAAUGAGAAAGUAGUUCUACUAGAUGUUGAAGCAUCUCGAUAAGAAACUAUAUAUGUAGUCGAAGGAAAAGAGAAAUUUAACAAAAAUUACGAAAAUGGCUAAUGAUUUACAGGGCGAUCAAGGCGGUCUAAUCUUGGGAGAACAGGGGUGGUUAAAACUUGUUCUUGCAUUUCUUGUUUGUCCAUGAUGUUCAAAAUUUGAGGCCUUGUCCAGGGCUUUGUUGUGAGGACUUAGGAGGUACCCAUGACCUUGACUACUUCCUAUCUUUCUAUAAACGGAAAGAUGUAGAAAAUAUAUCUUUGCAUUUUAUAAAGAUGGACUCACGGUUUGCUGUUCAGAUAUUAAUAGUUGUAUGUGUGAAUAAUGAGAAAACAAGAUGUGGACACUGGCUCUGAAGUGGUAGCUUGUAAGAAAGGAAGAUAUAACAUAAUAGUUGCGAUUUUUAAUACUACUAUUUGUCAAUCAAAGUAGUAGUAGUAGUAAAUGACAACCACCGCGCCACACCCUCUUGUCACGUUCUCCCUUCUUGAUUAUGGAAACUGGUAGCAGACUUCAGCUAUUGCUUAUUCUUAUCUGAUCUGAUGAUGGGCACUGAUCUCAUAUCUCUACCGUUUCUCCCAUGCCACUCGUUUCUUCCUCUAUCUCUCUCUCGAUCAAAGUAUCGAGAUUGGAGUUAUCUUUGUUAGUCAAAUGCCUGCAUGCUAAGUUCAAUAUUGCCUCAUUUUAGGCAAGGUGAACUUACUGGAUGCAUAUCGUUUCUACUUUUCUACUGUAAAUAGAUGAUGCACACAAGAAAAUGCUGCCAAAGGAAAAGAAAUCUAGAACCCUUUUAAAUUCAUUUCUUGUUAUUUGAACAAACAAGCCAAGGAAUCGUCCCAAUAAACGUCAGUUUUUUGUGAGGUGUAGUUACAUUCAAAAGGUAGCAAUGGUUGGAUGCAAAGACAACCAACCAAGUCUUGACUUGCAUUAAUUUUUUUUCAAAUGUCUGUGUCAGUUUAAAGAAGUUUAAUGUAUUCUACGUCAUUUAGGUUAGUGUUGUGAAGACAAUCUAAGAUGAAAAGUUUUCUCCCAUAAGCAAUUAAGGAACAUACGUCUCGAAGAAGAAAUUUGCAGUUGAUUAAUGGAUCGAUGCUAUGGAGUUUGAACCAACUGAAUCUUCUUCACUAUGUAACCAAUUUUGGCUUUUCGCUCCCUUCCUAUUGAAAAUGAUGGGAUAUUCCAAAGUCAUCCAUGGAAGGAUUCGGGCAUGCUAUGCCAUUUCCUAGGAGGGUUGGAAUCAGCACUUGUAUUGGAGGUAUCAUUAGGCAGAGUCAAUAACCAAGCACCACCAAUGCAUUUCCAUUUCCACGCCAACAUAGUUAAGAUGGUUCCUAAGAAAUAGGUAAAAACAAAUACUACAAUGGUGACACUUCACCGGAUCCCUCACACGACUUGACAAAGAAUUUCCUUAAUGAUUGUCCAAUUUGUUCUUACAGAGAAUCCAAACAUAUAAAGCCCUUGAUUCUCUUUGAACUCCCAACAAGGAUUAUAUCUAUAUGGUAUGAUAGCUAUUUAAUAGUAACAAGAUGACCUUUCUUUUAAAUAGAAGAAGAAGAAGAAGAAGAAGAAUGUGGUACAUCUCUUUCCUAGGAAGGUUUUACACAGAGGCCAUAUCCACUAGUUGUUCGGGCAUGUGCAGAAUUUCCUCUUGUAAAUUGGCAAACAUUACAAUAAUUUGAACGCUUUCUUCAAGAGUCUGGUGUCUGUGUUUCAAUUCAAAUUCGUGAAAAUUAAUGAUUGCUUGAACUUGGCUUUAAUUAUUUUGGAGAAACAGUGUAGAGUGUGUGUACUAAUUCAGAUUUCCUUAUUUUAUGGUUGAUAGCCAAAGAUGCAGAAUCAUCAUGAUUUAUGAGCUUUAUGAUCUCCAUCAAAAGCCUUAAUCAAGCCAAAUGUGACGGACAUAGAUAUCCAUCCUCCUGUUAGAACUCUCAUUGCAGAUAAUCUUAUGGGUGAACCGCCAAGAAGGGCUCCAAGUCCCCCAAACAACACCAGAGCAAUAGUUGUUACCACCAUUAUUAUCACAAUCCUGGUUCCGUAUUGAGAUAUCGCCACAGCAGCCACUAGGGGAACCACCGAUCCACAAAGAAAAGCCAAGGCUGAUGCUGCCGCAGCCUUGUAUGGAUUAGGCAGGGCCUCCUCUUUGCCAUCAACUUGCUUUGCCAUACUUGCUCUUGCAUCUGUUACCAUGGAGACAAUUUCCCUUGCGAUGACUCACUUUCGCUGGCCAGAUUUACAAAUGGAGAUCUGUUUGGUUCUGGCACAGAUGGAUGAGGAGUUAGAAAAUGGAUGUUGAUAUUAUCACCAACUUGCAGGUCGUGCAACUUACCAUCUGAACAAGUUUUGUGGAUUGUUGAUUUUUCGAUGUCCCUCUGGGUUGCGACAGAAACAAACUCUCCAACAGCCAUGCUGCAGGCACCUGCAAGAGCUACUGCAGUCCCCGAAAUGAUCAUGGACUCCUGAUCGUCUUUUGCUGCACCUAUUCUGAGCAUCAUGGAUGCAGCCGAAAGCAAACCAUCAUUGCACCAAGAAUGGCUGCUCUAAGCCAUUGAGCUCUCUGCAUUCCCUGUCGUACUUUUUCUUGUGUAGCUGUUACAGAAAGCUUAUUUGCAGAACCAGGUUCAAUUGACAUAGAAGCAGCUAUGUAAUGUAGACAAAGGUCGGAAACGGAGUGUGGUCUUUGACUGGAAAGCACACUUCCUAAUUCUUUACUUAAAGUCUGCAAACCACACUCUAAUCACGUGGAAGCAAUGUGCAUGUUGAGAACAUAUACAAGUAACCCACCCUAUCCAAUGUCGUCCAAGAAACAGAUUCCCUUAGGGGGCAUCGGUGAAGGCUCCAAAAAUUGAAAUGUCAAAUUAUAACAUCAAAGCCGAAGACAGCUCUGAAGAAGCCCAUGCUGUACUUAUACAAGCUUCGUGAGUGCAACUUUGUUAACUUUCUUAUUCUAUUUCUCCAAAAAUUACAGCAGCUAGAAUGAAAUAAAAAUGUAUACUAACACAAAUCAAUUCUUACAAAAACAGCAUCACUCUGACACAUAAAAUACCUUAAAUAUACAACUUACCCAAAACUUUAAACAACAAUCUUGGACAUGAAAUUAUCUUGAAUUUGAAUAGAGAUCCAUUUUCAGACAAAAUACAAGCAUAUAUAUUAGGAGAAUUGCAGUCCCAUAGGGCAAUUAUCUCACCCGCGAGAUCAUGUUCCCAAGCUGAUGGUAGAAUUGUUCGUGAUAUAAACAUCUCGUUGCUCAUAAUAUACACUUAAACAGUACCAUUUUGAUUCAUAACAAGCCAAUUGAAACACUCCGAUGAUUUCUUCAUUCCUUAUGACACCAAACUCUCAGAUAAGUAAGACAAUCUUGAUAAUAAUGGUGAUGAGAUUAUAAUUAUGACAAUAACAAUACCAGCAAUAACAAGAAUCAGUGCUAUUAUGACGAGUUACGGAUAGAAUUCAAUUGAAUAUUUUUCCAUGACAAACGAAUUCUUUCCAACCAAUGGAACUUCACCAAUGAAACCAUUUCAGCUAGUUUACGGGCUCUUCCAAGUAGAAAACUGAUUUCAUUCUGUGACAAGCAAAUAGAACCAGCCUGCAACAGACAAAUCAUAAAUGAUGGCCACGCAAUAAGUUUAACAUGCUCCCAAAGUCAUUUUCCCAGCUGUCUCUGGCUCAUGUAGCUAAAAUCGUUGAUCAGUAUUAAAAUGUUUACCACUGUCUUUUACACGGAAAAGAAAAUAACUUCAUGCUCCAGCUUGAGACAGCUAGCUAACUAUACCAUGGGUGACACGCAUAUAAAACAUAGCAUCUAAAUAUAUCUUACCAGCACAUGCAAGGCCUUAAUACAACCAGUCACAUAUAACCAACAAGAGUCAAGUGGAAGGCAUCCUAUAUUUGGAAACUACAAC
RNAcentral lists this long non-coding RNA (40740 nucleotides) under Coffea arabica (coffee). RNAcentral's name for it is "long non-coding RNA (CARA_LNC005230)". The record is from RNAcentral. Lineage: Eukaryota; Viridiplantae; Streptophyta; Magnoliopsida; Gentianales; Rubiaceae.